This 467-nucleotide ribosomal RNA is filed under the name uncultured bacterium. RNAcentral describes it as "partial 16S ribosomal RNA". It matches the Rfam family "Bacterial small subunit ribosomal RNA", at positions 28 to 507 of the family's 1533-position model. The record is from RNAcentral.
GACGAACGCUGGCGGCGUGCUUAACACAUGCAAGUCGAACGGAAAGGCCUCUUUCGGGGGGUACUCGAGUGGCGAACGGGUGAGUAACACGUGAGUAACCUGCCCUUGACUUUGGGAUAACUUCAGGAAACUGGGGCUAAUACCGGAUAGUCGUUCCUGCUGCAUGGUGGGGGUUGGACAGUUUAGGCGGUUGGGGAUUGAUUCGCGGCUUUUCCGCUUGUUUGGGGGGUAGUGGCUUCCCAAGGCGUUUCCGGGUCUCCGGCCUGAGAGUGUGAAAGACGAUAGUGGGACUGAGAGGCGGCCCAGACUCCGACGGGAGGCAGCAGUGGGGAAUAUUGCACAAUGGGUGGAAGGCUGAUGCAGCAACGCCGUGUGCGGGAUGACGGCCUUCGUGGGGUAAACCGCUUUCGCGCAUGACGAAGCUUUGUGUGACGUUAGUGGGUAAAGAAGCACCGGCUAACUACGUG